GAUGAACGCUGGCGGUAUGCUUAACACAUGCAAGUCGAACGGACUCUUCGGAGUUAGUGGCGGACGGGUGAGUAACGCGUGAGAAUCUGGCUUUGGGUUCGGGACAACCACUGGAAACGGUGGCUAAUACCGGAUGUGCCGAGAGGUAAAAGAGAAAUUGCCUGAAGAUGAGCUCGCGUCUGAUUAGCUAGUUGGUGAGGUAAAGGCUCACCAAGGCAGCGAUCAGUAGCUGGUCUGAGAGGAUGACCAGCCACACUGGGACUGAGACACGGCCCAGACUCCUACGGGAGGCGGCAGUGGGGAAUUUUCCGCAAUGGGCGAAAGCCUGACGGAGCAAUACCGCGUGAGAGAAGAAGGCUCUUGGGUUGUAAACCUCUUUUCUUAGGGAAGAACAAAAUGACGGUACCUAAGGAAUCAGCAUCGGCUAACUCCGUG
Molecule: ribosomal RNA, 435 nt
Filed under: uncultured bacterium
Lineage: Bacteria
Description: partial 16S ribosomal RNA
Rfam family: Bacterial small subunit ribosomal RNA
Source: RNAcentral